CUUCAAUCAACAGUCCACUAUACCGAAAUUGAUUGAUGAUCUCCAGAGCGCAAUCCCCGACUGAAGGAACCUAGAAAUUUUUCCAACGAUCAUUGGCAGCCCAAGAAGACGAAUGGCCGAGUAGAAUAUUGGUUCCUCCGACCAGAUUUUGCAACAAAAUUCGCCUGCACCUACAAGAUUUCUCUACGCUCCAUGACAAGAAAUGCAGGAGGCCGAAGAACUUAUGCCGUGCUCCAAAACCCGCGGUCCAAGCGGAAAUUACAGUCACACACUGCCGGUGACCAAAAAGAAGAAGCUUGAAGGGGAGAAAAAUCAAAGCCAAUAGACACCAAGCUCUGAUACCAUGUAAUAAUUUAAGAAGGAAAAAUAUAUUUUCUCUUAUUCUCAUAGAAAGGAGACGAUACACACACACACACACGAUGUUAGAGAUCUAUAUUAAAACUAUAUAAAUUAGGGAUUUAUAAUUACCCUAUAAUUAGGCCCAUAACACUAAACAUCCUAGAUUGUCGAUUUCUUCCACUUGACACCUUGAUAGAAAGGGAAAGAACAGAAUUUUAUCAGGUUUUGUCCAAAUAUUCCAUUAACCUACCUACUGUCGAUUCAAGAAAAGAACACAGAGAUUUACCAACAAGCAAGCAAUUAAGAAUUAAGGGAAAAGAUUCUCUCUUACUCUUCGGAUUUUCCAUUAAUAGGGAUAUGUCAUUCAUGUAUCAUGCUGACUGAGCUUCAUUCCAAGUUCAUGCACAUGUCUUUGUAACAAUACUCAUCAAACGACAUUACUUACUCAUAAGAAUCAGAAAGCUUGGCAUAAAAUCAUUGUAAUUUCACAAUUCCUGAGAGUUUCAUAUUAUCUGGAGCCCACAUCAAGGGUAAUAACGUGUCGGGAUUUGAUUUUCUUCGUUGUUCAAUCAUUAGAAUUACGUUUGAGAAUAAAAG
Molecule: long non-coding RNA, 936 nt
Filed under: Olea europaea subsp. europaea
Lineage: Eukaryota; Viridiplantae; Streptophyta; Magnoliopsida; Lamiales; Oleaceae
Source: RNAcentral